AUUGAACGCUGGCGGCAUGCUUUACACAUGCCAGUCGAACGGCAGCGCGGGCUUCGGCCUUGCGGCGAGUGGCGAACGGGUGAGUAAUGCAUCGGAACGUGCCCAGUAGUGGGGGAUAGCCCGGCGAAAGCCGGAUUAAUACCGCAUACGACCUGAGGGUGAAAGCGGGGGACCGAAAGGCCUCGCGCUAUUGGAGCGGCCGAUGUCGGAUUAGCUAGUUGGUGGGGUAAAGGCUUACCAAGGCGACGAUCCGUAGCUGGUCUGAGAGGACGACCAGCCACACUGGGACUGAGACACGGCCCAGACUCCUACGGGAGGCAGCAGUGGGGAAUUUUGGACAAUGGGGGCAACCCUGAUCCAGCCAUGCCGCGUGCGGGAAGAAGGCCUUCGGGUUGUAAACCGCUUUUGUUCGGGAAGAAAUCCUCUGGGCUAAUACCCCGGGGGGAUGACGGUACCGGAAGAAUAAGCACCGGCUAACUACGUG
RNAcentral lists this ribosomal RNA (484 nucleotides) under uncultured bacterium. Its description in RNAcentral is "partial 16S ribosomal RNA". It matches the Rfam family "Bacterial small subunit ribosomal RNA", at positions 28 to 507 of the family's 1533-position model. The record is from RNAcentral.